Long non-coding RNA from Macaca fascicularis (crab-eating macaque), 1967 nucleotides. Lineage: Eukaryota; Metazoa; Chordata; Mammalia; Primates; Cercopithecidae. The record is from Ensembl.
GCGCAUGCGCGGCAGGCCUCUGGGUGGGACGAGCCGGAGACGGAUCCUGUGUACAAAGUGAUCGGCUUCGGCCGCACGCAGUGGCCCCCCCACUCCCCGGGCGAAGUCGGCCGCCUUCCCGCAGAGUCGCAACCACGGCUUCUGUAGGUAACGGCAGGUCCAGGCCGGCGCGUGACCAGGGCCCCCGCGCGACCUGGAAUGGCCCGGGCGCGCGCGGUCUUGUGGGAGUUGUAGUCUUCCGUCCCCGCCCACGUGGACUCCGUUUCCCGUGGUGCCCCGGGAGGCCCGCUUCCGGCGCAGCUACGGGUCGGCGCACGCGGCCUCGGUCCGGUUGACUUUGCGGAGCCAUGGAGGGCGGCUUCGGCUCCGAUUUCGGGGGCUCCAGCAGCGGAAAGCUGGACCCAGGGCUCAUAAUGGAGCAGGUGAAGGUGCAGAUCGCCGUGGCCAACGCGCAGGAGCUGCUGCAGAGGAUGACGGACAAGUGUUUCCGGAAGUGUAUCGGGAAACCUGGGGGCUCUCUGGACAACUCCGAGCAGAAGUGCAUCGCCAUGUGCAUGGACCGCUACAUGGACGCCUGGAACACCGUGUCCCGCGCCUACAACUCGCGGCUGCAGCGGGAACGAGCCAACAUGUGACUGGCGAGCCCGUGGGCCGCCCCGCCCCGUUCAUUUCCACAAACGUGCUCUGAGAGGCGGGGCCCGCAUGUGCGUACUGCCUGCCCGGGGCUUAGCGGGUUGGCACCGGUGCUGGGACAGACAGGACUGUGUCCUCGCCACCCCCCGCCUUGCCCCCUGCCAGCCAGUGCAGCUUGGAUCUCGGGGGUGGGGGGGCCCUGUGCCUUCCCAAAGUGCUGGCAGCCCAGUGGCACCUCCUUCAGGCCUUUGGGGUCUUCCCCUAGUGGGCCCAGGUCAGCCUCAUAUUUUUUGGGCGGAGAACUCUUGUCUGGACUUUGGAGGUGGGGAUGGUCAGACCCCACCGGAGCUGUCACCUCCUGCGGAUGGGCAAAUAAAUUGGUGGAGGGCGGAGAGAAACCUCUUUAUUUCCCUCCUGAGGGAUCUCUGGGAAGAGUUGACGCGUGUCCCUGGAACCCCAGUUCGGAGGGUCUCAGCCUCUCCUGGGUUGGGAGAAGUCCAUCUUUCCCCUUAAGUGCCACCGGGCUGCUGAGUCACGAGGAAUGUGUUGUUGCCACCACCCCUGUCCCAAAGGCUAAGGGGGACAGCCCUCCCCUUGUCCAGGCUUGCUUUGACCCCUCUUCCUUCCACCCGGGUCCUGUUGGAGCGCCAGGCAGGUGGUCCGCGCUGUGACACUGAGGUGCUGAGCCAGUGAGCCGGGGUGGAGCAGCUGUGUUUAUUGGAACAAAGGGUGCUACCAAAAUGCAUCCCCAUGACCCACAGCCCCCCCCCACUCCCGUCCUUGGGUAGGGUACAGUGAGGUGGGGUGUUGGGUGGCCUGCUGCUCCUGCUGCUUUCGCCUAGAGUCCCGGCCUGGGCAAUCACGUGGCGGUCACUCCUGGAUGUGCUGUCCUAUCCAGCCUCUCACAGCUGCCACCCGGGUAUAGACACCUGGGAAGUGGGGCCGGCCGCAGCCAUAGCCCCAGCUGGUGACCCCAGUUAGCACCCAUCGUCCAGACGGCUCCCUGCAGGCCAGGGGUCCCCCAGCGUCACCCUGUUGGGGAGAGAAGCGGGGGUUCAGAGUCUGGUACCUCCCCUACAGCAGCCCUUGGGUCAUUGGCCCCCGUAGGGGUGACCGUAGUGAGUGGCUUCCCUUGGAAGCUGCAUUUUCACUAUCUGGAAAAUGGGCUCAAUGCAAAGGUGGUAGACAUUGAUGGACACCCUCCCCGUGGUCCCGGAGUGGAAUGGGGCCUCCCGCUGCAGCCUCUGCCUGCUCUGCCGUUGAGGCCCAGGGGUGGGAUGCGGUGGGUACCCAAUAAACGGUUGUGGAGUGGAAAUUCCUCCAGAGCCAAAAAG